UGGCAUCCUCCCUCCGCGCCGGCGGCCGGCCGCCCCGCUCAAUCCCGGCGAGCCGCGGCGGCGCUUCCCAGCGGGAAGACGCGGCCCGCUCCUCCCAUGGAUCGGGCAGCGAGAAGCACGCUGUCACUGGCGGGAAGAGGUGUGCCAAGGGCUUGGCGGCGGGCCAGGAUGUGCUUGAGUGCACCUGAGAUGGCAGCGGAGUCCAGUUGUGUAAGAAUCCAGAGCUGUGCUGUUAACGUGCCUGGACUUUAUUCAGAGAAUGAAGAGAACAGAGAUGCAGAAUUGCUUCCCCCCUCUUCCCCAAAAUACAAUUUCGUCUCAGACGUUAUACGUGCACUAUGAUUUUUAUGCAAUGGGCAUUAAUGACAACUACAUUUUGUUUCAGCAAUGACUGAGACAAGUUGGUUUUGUUCACCCAGCACAGCUUAUGGGCAAGUAGAGUUUAUCCUUUAGGCUGAGGGGAUGACCUGAUCGCUUCUUUCACUUCAGUCACAGGCAAAGAGGUUCCAAACACCCUGCACGUUUCCAUAUCAGUAUUUUUUUAACAUAAAUUAAAAAGCCUAAAGUCAGUUGACAUGUAAAUGUUGGAGCUAGAAAUACAGAAUUACAGGUUAAUCAGUGAAGUAGUGAUGCAAGUAAGUGAUAAUAAUAACAAACCUGCAUGUUUACUUAAAAGACCUUUUUACUUAAACAGUCAAAAAGCAGUAGGUUACUUUGUCCUCCAGUCUUACGAGAUGUUGAACAGGAACAUUUCUAUGUACAGUAGAAUACAGUACACACAGUAACAAUCUAUAGCCACAUCAUGGAAUUUCCUUAUUGUCACUGCUUCAGAGCAUAGACAUACGAAUUUCCCAGUAAGGGUUUCCAUGGGAGAGAGAAAUUCUGCUUCCUUCAGCUCUGAAACACAGAUUUGUCAGUAAUAUUUUGAUGGAUGUUAUUGCGAUGGGUAAAAGAUAGAUAGACUGAGCAAUGCAUUUUGUCACAAAAUUGUUUCUGAAUUGCCAGCAGCGGCUAUGUAACUUGAUAUAUGACAUUUAUUUUAUUGAGCAGAGUGUAAAACUAGCUAUAAAAAUACAACAUUGAAUUACUAUAUACAUAGAUGGCUCAAAUUUGAAGCUUCAUCUGACUAAUACAGAGGGUCCUAUAGACAUAAACUUGGGAUAUGAAGAAAAACUGUAUCUUUAUGUCUUGCUACUAUCUCACGUUAAAUUAAAAUUUGUGUGAUGCAAUGCUGUUACUAGUUUAUUUUUAUGUAUUAAAGCUAUUGAUUUGCUCUAAAAA
Molecule: long non-coding RNA, 1281 nt
Organism: Falco peregrinus (peregrine falcon)
Lineage: Eukaryota; Metazoa; Chordata; Aves; Falconiformes; Falconidae
Exons: 2
Source: RefSeq, a predicted model, not a curated record